CCUACGGGAGGCAGCAGUGAGGAAUAUUGGUCAAUGGACGCAAGUCUGAACCAGCCAUGCCGCGUGCAGGAAGACGGCUCUAUGAGUUGUAAACUUCUUUUGUACGGGGGUAAACGCAGAUACGCGUAUCUGUCUGAAAGUAUCGUACGAAUAAGGAUCGGCUAACUCCGUGCCAGCAGCCGCGGUAAUACGGAGGAUUCAAGCGUUAUCCGGAUUUAUUGGGUUUAAAGGGUGCGUAGGCGGUCGGAUAAGUUAGAGGUGAAAACCCGAGGCUUAACUUCGGAAUUGCCUCUGAUACUGUCCGGCUAGAGAGUAGUUGCGGUAGGCGGAAUGUAUGGUGUAGCGGUGAAAUGCUUAGAGAUCAUACAGAACACCGAUUGCGAAGACAGCUUACCAAGCUACUUCUGACGUUGAGGCACGAAAGCGUGGGGAGCAAACAGGAUUAGAUACCCUAGUAGUC
This 460-nucleotide ribosomal RNA is filed under the name uncultured bacterium. RNAcentral's name for it is "partial 16S ribosomal RNA". It matches the Rfam family "Bacterial small subunit ribosomal RNA", at positions 338 to 795 of the family's 1533-position model. The record is from RNAcentral.